AACGAACGCUGGCAGCAUGCCUAACACAUGCAAGUCGAACGAGACCUUCGGGUCUAGUGGCGCACGGGUGCGUAACGCGUGGGAACCUGCCCUUAGGUUCGGAAUAACUCCCCGAAAGGGGUGCUAAUACCGGAUAAUGUCUUCGGACCAAAGAUUUAUCGCCUUUGGAUGGGCCCGCGUUGGAUUAGCUAGUUGGUAGGGUAAAAGCCUACCAAGGCGACGAUCCAUAGCUGGUCUGAGAGGAUGAUCAGCCACACUGGGACUGAGACACGGCCCAGACUCCUACGGGAGGCAGCAGUGGGGAAUAUUGGACAAUGGGCGAAAGCCUGAUCCAGCAAUGCCGCGUGAGUGAUGAAGGCCUUAGGGUUGUAAAGCUCUUUUACCCGGGAUGAUAAUGACAGUACCGGGAGAAUAAACUCCGGCUAACUCCGU
RNAcentral lists this ribosomal RNA (432 nucleotides) under uncultured bacterium. RNAcentral's name for it is "partial 16S ribosomal RNA". It matches the Rfam family "Bacterial small subunit ribosomal RNA", at positions 29 to 506 of the family's 1533-position model. The record is from RNAcentral.